AUGGACGAGAUGAGAUUGAGGUUUUCAGUAGUCGGCGGUGGGGAGCUGCUCGUGGGGGCGCUGGCCGAUGAAGCAGAUGUCGUAGACGAGGGCGGCGAUGGCGGCGCCGGCGAAGGGGCCGAGCCAGUAGACCCAGUGGUUCUCCCAGACGCCGCUGACGACAGCGGGGCCGAAGGAGACGGCGGGGUUCAUGGAGGCGCCGUCGAAGGCGCCGCCGGCGAGGAUGUUGGCGCCGACGAUGAAGCCGAUGGCGAUGGGCGCGAUCACCCCGAGGUCGCCGCGCUUGGGGUCGACCGCGGUGGCGUACACCGUGUAGACGAGCCCGAAGGUCAUGACGAUCUCGAACACCACGGCGUUCCAGACGCCGACGCCGGCGGAGAGCGAGAAGGCGCCCACGGCCUCGCCGCCGGUGGCGAUCUUGAGGAGGAGGCAGGCCACGACGGAGCCGAGCAGCUGCGCCACCCAGUACACCACGGCCUUGAGCAGGCUGAUGUUGCCGCCCACGAAGGCGCCGAAUGUGACGGCCGGGUUCACGUGCCCGCCGGAGAUGUUGGCGCCCACGGAGACGGCCACGAAGAGCGCGAACGCGUGUCCGGGUGGGACAGCUCCCCCGGGGCGCCGAUGGCGAUCCUGCUCACCGGCAUUUUCGACGGGCACUCUUUCUUUUUUUUCUGGAUGGAUGGAUCGGUUCGUGUGCUGUGUAGCUAG
RNAcentral lists this ribosomal RNA (708 nucleotides) under Triticum aestivum (bread wheat). RNAcentral describes it as "partial small subunit ribosomal RNA". Lineage: Eukaryota; Viridiplantae; Streptophyta; Magnoliopsida; Poales; Poaceae. The record is from RNAcentral.